This is a microRNA precursor of Panthera pardus (leopard), 95 nucleotides long. Ensembl annotates it as microRNA 340. Its record names the gene MIR340. The record is from Ensembl. Lineage: Eukaryota; Metazoa; Chordata; Mammalia; Carnivora; Felidae.
UUGUACCUGGUGUGAUUAUAAAGCAAUGAGACUGAUUGUCAUGUGUGGUUUGUGGGAUCCGUCUCAGUUACUUUAUAGCCAUACCUGGUAUGUUA